Molecule: long non-coding RNA, 1294 nt
Filed under: Homo sapiens (human)
Lineage: Eukaryota; Metazoa; Chordata; Mammalia; Primates; Hominidae
Description: HSALNT0400684
Source: RNAcentral
UCGGCCCCCCAAAGUGCUGAGAUUACAGGCGUCAGCCACUGCAUCUGGCCCAAAAUGUCCUUAUUUCAAAAGAAUACCAUGAGGAUUCAAAUUAAUACAUGUAAAGGUCUUAGAAUUGUGCAUGGCACAUAGUUAACUUUGAGUAAAUGUCUGGUUUAUUGUUCUUACUAGUAGACCAUGGCUCAGCUUGUGUCUCGGAGCCUUCUCUAUGGCUUACAAGGGCCUGCAGGGUUUUCUCAGCUUCACCUAGGGCCAGGCUGCUUCAUUCCUCACAUGCCAUGUUCUGUUCAGACUCAGGACCUUUGCCCACACUGGUGCUUCUACCAAGCUCUGUCCCACUUAUCUCUGAGGUCUUAAUCCACAGGUCACUUUCUCAAGGAGCCUAGCUGCUCACUUCUUCCCCCAUCUGACCAUGGGCUCUGUCCCCUAGGCCUUGCCCAGUGCUGGGUCCAGAGAAGGUGCUGAAGAGUCUGGCUGAGUGUUGGACAGAGAGGAGGGAAGAGAAGAAAGGCCAGUUCCCACUCUCUUCAUCCCUUUCCUCACUGCCUGGCAAAACUAGAAAGAGGCCCCAAUAUAGCAGGUGAUUAUGCAAGGUGUCCAGUAUUCUCCAGACACUUUCUCUCAGGAUAAGGAAAGGGGACAGGAAGCUUAUGGGAAAGUUCUAGAAAAGGCAUCUUUUGCACUGUGCUGAGGCAACAGGCAGGAAUGGGGUAGCAAUCUCCAAAAACUAGGACUUCUUUCUGAGGUCUUUGACCCCAAGUGCUCCAUAGUCCAAAGCAGCUUCUCCUUCCUCCUCUCCACCCAAAGCUAUGGCGACUCCCUUGUCUGAUGCAGAUCAGUGCUGGAUGCUGUGGGGAAGAGAGUACUGGGCUGACAGUCAGUGGAUGUGGAUUUUGUUUCCCAGUUCCAUCGCUGAUUUGCAGACAUGGAUGGUCACAAAGGUGAAUUCACUUGCUCAAGAUCCAACACACACAAAAUGGAGGUGGUUCAAACCCAGGUGUGUCUGACUGCAGAGCCUGUGUUCUUCCCAGUAGAGAUGUGGAUGCAGCACAAAUGGUAGAAAGGACCUGAGACUUAGUCAGAAGACCUCAGUUCACCCAAGGGUUGCUACCAUCUCUGACCCUUUGUCUUUGGAUGCUGUUAAGCUAAAAGCGGACCAGGAUCCAUGAUGAGGUUCCUCUAUCCUCUGGGUUAAGUCUGUCCAGGUAAAAUAAUAGGGAAAGAAGAAUACCAUUAAAAUAAAAAUUGGCUGGACACAGUGGCUCAUGCCUGUAAUCUCAGCACUUUGGGAAGC